GUCGAACGAUAAACUUUCCUUCGGGAAAGAUAUAAAGUGGCGCACGGGUGAGUAACACGUAAGUAAUCUACCUUCGAGUGGGGAAUAACGUCCGGAAACGGACGCUAAUACCGCAUAAUGCAGCGGCAUCGAAAGAUGACAGUUGUUAAAGGAGCAAUUCGCUUGAAGAGGAGCUUGCGGCAGAUUAGCUAGUUGGUAAGGUAAUGGCUUACCAAGGCUUCGAUCUGUAUCCGGUCUAAGAGGACGGCCGGACACACUGACACUGAAUAACGGGUCAGACUCCUACGGGAGGCAGCAGUCGGGAAUUUUGGGCAAUGGGCGAAAGCCUGACCCAGCAACGCCGCGUGAAGGAUGAAGUAUUUCGGUAUGUAAACUUCGAAAGAAUGGGAAGAACUCAAUGACGGUACCAUUUAUAAGGUCCGGCUAACUACGUGCCAGCAGCCGCGGUAAUACGUAGGGACCAAGCGUUGUUCGGAUUUACUGGGCGUAAAGGGCGCGUAGGCGGCAAAUUAAGUCAGCUGUGAAAUCUCCGAGCUUAACUCGGAACUGUCAGCUGAUACUGAUGUGCUAGAGUGCGGAAGGGGCAAUCGGAAUUCUGGGUGUAGCGGUGAAAUGCGUAGAUAUCAAGAGGAACACCUGAGGUGAAGACNGGUUGCUGGGCCGACACUGACGCUGAGUGCGCGAAAGCCAGGGGAGCAAACGGGAUUAGAUACCCCGGUAGUCCUGGCCUUAACGAUGAAUACUUGGUGUCUGGA
RNAcentral lists this ribosomal RNA (755 nucleotides) under uncultured bacterium. Its description in RNAcentral is "bacterial SSU rRNA". It matches the Rfam family "Bacterial small subunit ribosomal RNA", at positions 61 to 828 of the family's 1533-position model. The record is from RNAcentral.